RNAcentral lists this unclassified non-coding RNA (286 nucleotides) under uncultured fungus. RNAcentral describes it as "sequence contains ITS2". The stretch from base 1 to 52 matches the Rfam family "5.8S ribosomal RNA", at positions 103 to 154 of the family's 154-position model. The record is from RNAcentral. Lineage: Eukaryota; Fungi.
AACGCACCUUGCGCUCCUUGGUAUUCCGAGGAGCAUGCCUGUUUGAGUGUCAUGGUAUUCUCAAUUAUCUCAGUUUUUUCUGGGAUGAAUUGGAUUUGGAGGUUAUUUGCUGGCAUCCUUGUGAAAUCAGCUCCUCUUAAAUGUAUCAGUGUGAAUGCUCACUUCAUACUCAGUGUGAUAAUUAUCUACGCUGUGCAUGAGUGAUACAACUUCAUGCUUCGAACCGUCGCAAGACAUCACUUUGACUUCUGACCUCAAAUCAGGUAGGAUUACCCGCUGAACUUAA